Molecule: long non-coding RNA, 1455 nt
Organism: Cercocebus atys (sooty mangabey)
Lineage: Eukaryota; Metazoa; Chordata; Mammalia; Primates; Cercopithecidae
Exons: 3
Source: RefSeq, a predicted model, not a curated record
CAGCUGCUCAGCUUUUCAGUCUGGGUCUGAGCUGAAACCUGCUGCAAGUCUUUGACGGUACCAAAUUACAUAUAUAUCUGUCAAAAUGAUGUAGGACCUAAAGUCUCUCUGUAAGUUGAUCCUCUUGACCCCAUGAUUAGGAGCUUCACAAUGUGAUACCACACCUGGAAACCUCCAGAACAAGAUCUCAAGGAAACACAGGAAAUUCCUGAAACAGCAAAACCCCCUAUGUGAAGACGCCUGUUAUUCCUUUGUGCAUCAGGAGCAUCACUGUUAAUUAACUGUUGAUACACUUAAAAGAGCUUGGUUGGCAAUGUCCUUUUUGAAAAAAGAAGAGCCAGGUAUGUUAUUCAGGAUGAACUAGACAAUGCUGUCACAAGUUUACCUCUACGUCUUAUUGCCUUGGAAAAAUUUCCUGCAUAUUGUGGCACAAGAUGGUUGGCUCUCCAGGCAGCAGUUGGCAUUGUGAAUCAGUCUUCUCAGCAUGUAUCUCCAAGAUCCCACAGCAGGGGAAAAAAGAGGUGGAAGGUCACAUGCCUGGUGUUACAUGCUUUGAGGCAGAGGUGGUAGGUGCCAUUUCUGCUCACAGCUCAUGGACCAGAACAAAGCCAUGCAUACCUGCGAGAGGACCAGAAAAUAUUCUGAAGUACAUGGCUAUUUGGUAUAAAAAUGGGCUACCAAGUAACUAUGUGACCUGAGCUACUCACCAUGAACUGGGUGUUAUCUGACCACCAACCCAUCAAGUUGCUGUGUGAAAUAACACUCCAUCAUCAAAUAGAAGUGGUAUAUUUGUGAUCUGGCCCUAGCAGCUGUGAAGGCACAAGUCAGUUACAUGAAGAAGUGGCCCAAAUGCUCCUGGUCUCCGCUUCUGCUACCCUGGCUUCUCUCUCCCAGCCUACACCUGUGGUCUCAUGGAGUUCCCGAUGAUCACUUGACAGAAGAAGAGAAGACUAGGGCCUGGUUAACAGAUGUUCUGCGUAAUACUCAGGCACUACCCUAAAGGGGACAGCUGCAGCAAAAAUAGAACAAAAAGGCUUAGAAAGGGCACAUUUGCUCACUGAGCUGGGACAUGUAUUGUCUCCUGCCCUUGGACAUCAGCACUCCUGGUUCUCAGGCCUUUGGACUUUGACGAAGAUUUCCAUCAUGGCUUCUCCUGGUUCUCAGGCCUUUUGACCGAAACGUCUUACACCACUGGCUUUCCUGCUUCUCCAGCUGGCAGAUCGUGGGGCUUCUUGGCCUCCAUAAUCACGUGAGCAAAUUCCCGUAAUAAACCUCUCUGUAUUUGUUUGUGUGUUUGUGUUUGUGUUUUUGUAUUAUGUUGGCUCUGUUUCUCUAGAUGAUCCUGAUUAAUUCAGAUGGAGGAAAUCAUAUCAUCUUAUCUGACAGUCAAUAGUGUAUCUCUCUUUUGACCUUGACUUCUUUUGUCUGUAUUAAAAACUUUUAUUGUAUUUGAUA